UGGGAAUUUUGGACAAUGGGCGCAAGCCUGAUCCAGCCAUGCCGCGUGCGGGAAGAAGGCCUUCGGGUUGUAAACCGCUUUUGUCAGGGAAGAAAUCUUCUGAGUUAAUACCUCGGGAGGAUGACGGUACCUGAAGAAUAAGCACCGGCUAACUACGUGCCAGCAGCCGCGGUAAUACGUAGGGUGCAAGCGUUAAUCGGAAUUACUGGGCGUAAAGCGUGCGCAGGCGGUUUUGUAAGACAGAGGUGAAAUCCCCGGGCUCAACCUGGGAACUGCCUUUGUGACUGCAAGGCUUGAGUGCGGCAGAGGGGGAUGGAAUUCCGCGUGUAGCAGUGAAAUGCGUAGAUAUGCGGAGGAACACCGAUGGCGAAGGCAAUCCCCUGGGCCUGCACUGACGCUCAUGCACGAAAGCGUGGGGAGCAAAACAGGAUUAGAUAGCCCUGGUAGUCCACGCCCUAAACGAUGUCAACUGGUUGUUGGGAAGGUUCCUUCUCAGUAACGUAGCUAACGCGUGAAGUUGACCGCCUGGGGAGUACGGCCGCAA
Molecule: ribosomal RNA, 544 nt
Filed under: uncultured bacterium
Lineage: Bacteria
Description: partial 16S ribosomal RNA
Rfam family: Bacterial small subunit ribosomal RNA
Source: RNAcentral